RNAcentral lists this transfer RNA (90 nucleotides) under Fusobacteriaceae bacterium. Its description in RNAcentral is "tRNA-Ser". It matches the Rfam family "tRNA". Rfam says of the family: Transfer RNA (tRNA) molecules are approximately 80 nucleotides in length. Lineage: Bacteria; Fusobacteriati; Fusobacteriota; Fusobacteriia; Fusobacteriales; Fusobacteriaceae. The record is from RNAcentral.
GGUGAGAUGCCCGAGUGGCCGAAGGGAGCAGUUUGCUAAACUGUCGUACUAGAAAUGGUACCGUGGGUUCGAAUCCCACUCUCACCGCCA